CCUACGGGGGGCUGCAGUGGGGAAUAUUGGACAAUGGGGGGAACCCUGAUCCAGCCAUGCCGCGUGUGUGAAGAAGGCCCUCGGGUUGUAAAGCACUUUCAGUGAGGAAGAACGCCUGUGGUUAAUACCCAUCAGGAAAGACAUCACUCACAGAAGAAGCACCGGCUAACUCCGUGCCAGCAGCCGCGGUAAUACGGAGGGUGCGAGCGUUAAUCGGAAUUACUGGGCGUAAAGCGCGCGUAGGUGGCUUGAUAAGCCGGUUGUGAAAGCCCCGGGCUCAACCUGGGAACGGCAUCCGGAACUGUCAAGCUAGAGUGCAGGAGAGGAAGGUAGAAUUCCCGGUGUAGCGGUGAAAUGCGUAGAGAUCGGGAGGAAUACCAGUGGCGAAGGCGGCCUUCUGGACUGACACUGACACUGAGGUGCGAAAGCGUGGGUAGCAAACAGGAUUAGAUACCCUGGUAGUC
Molecule: ribosomal RNA, 464 nt
Filed under: Vreelandella stevensii
Lineage: Bacteria; Pseudomonadati; Pseudomonadota; Gammaproteobacteria; Oceanospirillales; Halomonadaceae
Description: partial 16S ribosomal RNA
Rfam family: Bacterial small subunit ribosomal RNA
Source: RNAcentral